CAGGCGAUCAACAAUAUAAAAUCAACGG
This 28-nucleotide small RNA is filed under the name Bombyx mori (domestic silkworm). RNAcentral describes it as "ovarian small RNA-13300". Lineage: Eukaryota; Metazoa; Arthropoda; Insecta; Lepidoptera; Bombycidae. The record is from RNAcentral.